Molecule: long non-coding RNA, 695 nt
Organism: Cannabis sativa
Lineage: Eukaryota; Viridiplantae; Streptophyta; Magnoliopsida; Rosales; Cannabaceae
Exons: 3
Source: RefSeq, a predicted model, not a curated record
UCAUCUUACCACAUAUCUCUCUAACCGUAUAUCCCCAAAUUACAAAAUCCAAUUCUUUCACUUUGGUUUACGAUCAACCAAACGCAGCUAUAGCUUUGCACUCCGGUAUAGGUUUUUCCAAGAUCCUCGUCAUAGCCGGAAAUUCCAGUUACUCACUCCGCCCAACCCAGGAAAUUCCAAUCCAAAAAGUAACAAUCUUGAGGUCUAUGAACUCGUGCGAUCAAAAUAAAAUUGAUCGAACAGAAUCAAGGUCUGUGAAGAUAGAUCGAGAGGUAAAUUGAUCGAACAGGAGAGAAUCUCAACGGCUUUCUCCUCUCUUUCUCUCAACUCAACCAGGGCUGCCAAUUUCUGGACCUCCUCUCACUUCAAACAGCUUCUGGAUCAAGACGAGGUGGAUGUGGCUCACUCAUUGGACAAGGAGAAAGGCAUCACUGUCGAAGACUUGAAGCUCAUCAAAAUGGAGAUGGCCAAUUGUUGUAGCUACUGCUGUAACAUAUAUGAGGCGUGUGUAUACCAGGUACCUUAGGUGAAAAAUUGCGUUGUGAUCUGAAUCUUGUUGAUUUUUGUAGUUUGGGUUUUCAAGUGGCUUUGUAACGAUCCUAUGAAGUUUCACAUUAGCAUAUAGGAUGAAUUAGGUCGACAAAUAUAUAAUUUUUGCGAAAAUUUGAGCCACCAUAGACUUGAUAAUUUUUUUA